CCCAAAGCGUAACGGAGGAGCACGAAGGUUAGCUAAUCCUGGUCGGACAUCAGGAGGUUAGUGCAAUGGCAUAAGCUAGCUUGACUGCGAGCGUGACGGCGCGAGCAGGUGCGAAAGCAGGUCAUAGUGAUCCGGUGGUUCUGAAUGGAAGGGCCAUCGCUCAACGGAUAAAAGGUACUCCGGGGAUAACAGGCUGAUACCGCCCAAGAGUUCAUAUCGACGGCGGUGUUUGGCACCUCGAUGUCGGCUCAUCACAUCCUGGGGCUGAAGUAGGUCCCAAGGGUAUGGCUGUUCGCCAUUUAAAGUGGUACGCGAGCUGGGUUUAGAACGUCGUGAGACAGUUCGGUCCCUAUCUGCCGUGGGCGCUGGAGAAUUGAGGGGGGCUGCUCCUAGUACGAGAGGACCGGAGUGGACGCAUCACUGGUGUUCGGGUUGUCAUGCCAAUGGCACUGCCCGGUAGCUAAAUGCGGAAGAGAUAAGUGC
RNAcentral lists this ribosomal RNA (483 nucleotides) under Klebsiella pneumoniae. RNAcentral's name for it is "partial 23S ribosomal RNA". It matches the Rfam family "Bacterial large subunit ribosomal RNA", at positions 2289 to 2771 of the family's 2925-position model. Lineage: Bacteria; Pseudomonadati; Pseudomonadota; Gammaproteobacteria; Enterobacterales; Enterobacteriaceae. The record is from RNAcentral.